RNAcentral lists this ribosomal RNA (491 nucleotides) under uncultured bacterium. RNAcentral describes it as "partial 16S ribosomal RNA". It matches the Rfam family "Bacterial small subunit ribosomal RNA", at positions 29 to 506 of the family's 1533-position model. The record is from RNAcentral.
AGUGAACGCUGGCGGUAGGCCUAACACAUGCAAGUCGAACGGCAGCACAGUAAGAGCUUGCUCUUACGGGUGGCGAGUGGCGGACGGGUGAGGAAUACAUCGGAAUCUACUUUUUCGUGGGGGAUAACGUAGGGAAACUUACGCUAAUACCGCAUACGACCUACGGGUGAAAGCAGGGGAUCUUCGGACCUUGCGCGAUUGAAUGAGCCGAUGUCGGAUUAGCUAGUUGGCGGGGUAAAGGCCCACCAAGGCGACGAUCCGUAGCUGGUCUGAGAGGAUGAUCAGCCACACUGGAACUGAGACACGGUCCAGACUCCUACGGGAGGCAGCAGUGGGGAAUAUUGGACAAUGGGCGCAAGCCUGAUCCAGCCAUACCGCGUGGGUGAAGAAGGCCUUCGGGUUGUAAAGCCCUUUUGUUGGGAAAGAAAAGCAGCAGGUUAAUACCCCGCUGUUCUGACGGGACCCAAAGAAUAAGCACCGGCUAACUUCGG